Molecule: ribosomal RNA, 509 nt
Filed under: Epitheca bimaculata
Lineage: Eukaryota; Metazoa; Arthropoda; Insecta; Odonata; Corduliidae
Description: partial 16S rRNA
Rfam family: Bacterial large subunit ribosomal RNA
Source: RNAcentral
GUCUUUUUGAAAGAAUAUAAAAAGUCUGACCUGCCCAGUGAUUUAUUUUAACGGCCGCGGUAUAUUGACCGUGCAAAGGUAGCAUAAUCAUUAGUCUUUUAAAAGAGGGCUGGAAUGAAAGGUUUGACGAGGUAUUAACUGUCUCAUUUUAUUUGGAUUUAGAAUUUAACUUUUUAGUCAAAAGGCUAAAAUUUAAUUGGUAGACGAGAAGACCCUAUAGAGCUUUAUAUUAAAUAUUUUGAUUUUAUUUAGAUAAUUUUUAAUUAAAGAAUUUAAUAUUUUGUUGGGGUGACAGAAAAAUAAAAUUAACUUUUUUAAUUAUGUAACAUUAAUUUAUGAUUAAUUGAUCCAAUAUUAUUGAUUAAUAGAUUAAGUUACCUUAGGGAUAACAGCGUAAUCCUCCCCCAGAGUUCAUAUUUACGGGUAGGGCUUGCGACCUCGAUGUUGGAUUAAGAUAAUAAUUAGGUGUAGCCGCUUAAUUUAUAGGUCUGUUCGACCUUUAAAUUCUU